Molecule: ribosomal RNA, 165 nt
Filed under: uncultured bacterium
Lineage: Bacteria
Description: partial 16S ribosomal RNA
Rfam family: Bacterial small subunit ribosomal RNA
Source: RNAcentral
GUAAUCGCGGAUCAGAAUGCCGCGGUGAAUACGUUCCCGGGUCUUGUACACACCGCCCGUCACACCAUGGGAGUCGGAAAUGCCCGAAGUCUGUGACCCAACCUGAGAGGGAGGGAGCAGCCGAAGGCAGGUCUGAUGACUGGGGUGAAGUCGUAACAAGGUAUC